Acanthopagrus latus (yellowfin seabream) is the source of this 3181-nucleotide long non-coding RNA. RefSeq lists it as uncharacterized. The record is from RefSeq and is a predicted model, not a curated record. Lineage: Eukaryota; Metazoa; Chordata; Actinopteri; Spariformes; Sparidae. The transcript is spliced from 4 exons.
GUUUGACACAUUUUUAAUUUCAAACAACUUCGCCGCGUCUGAACUGCCGAUGUUUUGCUGCGCUGAUCUGCAUUUAAAUUCCAGUGUGGCUAACAUAUGAAAUCCCUUCGGUGAGUAUGUCAGAGCUUCAGUCAGCGCCGUGAAGUUAUAAAACACGUCAGUCCUAGUAGAUGUGAGCAGCUUUAUCCCAAUGAAAAUCGCUGCUUUUGGCAAGAAUGGAUACGUUUAUUUUAUGUUUUAUUUUUUACCAUCGUGUCACGUUUGCCACUGUGCUGCUGUUUGCAAGCCUGGAUACAACGAGACAAGGUCAUGUUGAGAUGCUGAUGUGUGAAUAAAUCUUCUUCUUAGCAUCAUUACCACAUGCAGCGUCUUCAGGACCAAACACAGAGCAACAAGGUGGUUUGCUCCACAGGUUUGGUCCUUGGCACCCUGGAGCUAACUAGCUGCUUGCUACUGUUAGCACCAGUUAAUGGUUAGCAAGCAACAAGUAAAAAUUCCUAAAUCACCUUGUGCUGCGUUCACAUGCUCCUCAGAUUGUCGGAUGUCGUUCUUCCGAUUUCAGUUUGCUCAUGAGCAUCAUGUCGGAACGUGGCAGCAACACGGACACCAAAAACAAGCUGUUUUGUAUUUUAUCGCUCUGAACAUGAAGAAAAACAUUCACAUUGACAACUGUUUCUAGUAUUUGAGUGAUUUUUUUUUUUACGACAGCACUUGAACAAUUUCCUUCCCUCUUGUCAAACUGGCUUGGUAACAUUUAAAUGACAUUUUAAUGACAAGUCUAAAUUGCACCACUUUAGUUGAGAUCAAGAUAAAUAAUCCAAUGGUUUCAUUACAGCUAAUGUCAAAACCACACGACAGCUUAAUGUAAUGUGAACACAGAUCAACAGUUUGAUCGCUGGGCCUCGCUCUGACAUGUUUGUGUCAUAAAUAUUCAUAAAUCGGAUAAAUUGUUUCCGAUCUUAGCUCACUGGACAGUAAAUACCAUGUGUUUCCAUUUCCGGGCUUCUUCUCUCUCUCUCCUCUCCUGGCGACUCGCAGGAGCCGCCGUCCCAGAGUGCCUUGUGUGCGCGAGCCCUCAUUUACACUUAGGUCAGAGUUCAGGCUGCUGGAUCAGAGAUGAAUUGGCCGUCAGAGGAGCGCUGUCGCUCGCCCUGAAGUCCUGCUGGGCGGCCAUCUGUCUGCGGGUUGAGGCAGACGAGCCCUGCUGCCUGCAGUCCUACAGACGAAGGCUUUGGCUCGGUAGGAUUGUUCAUUUGAGACAGUUAUUGCAGAAAAACUGGAUUAAUAACACUUUCCCCUCCUUGAGACAUGCUUUUGCAGUUAGCUUCAGCUGAGCGGAACUGAAUCUCCCACAGGUUUCUCAGCUGCCAUGUUGAGUCUGACCCCAGGCAGGUUAUACUGAUAUUAUUUGAUAUUUAUGAAGACAUAAUUUUCCGUCUCUCAACGACUCAGUUGUUGUAGGAGCCAGAUGUGAGUCCACUGAGGGAGAGAAACAACGUCUGGCUCAGUUUUUGCUUCUCAUUCUGCUUCAGUUAUCCUCCGUCGUGUUGUAAUUAAAAAUGAAUGAUGAAGUACGUUAAAGUGUAAACUUUUAUCAGGCCAUUACAACAAAAUAAAGAUGUGCGUGUCUCUUUUUAUUAAAGCUGUGUAAAACAAUAUAACGGCUGUUGUGUGAUGUGAUGAAGUGAAACAGAAAAUGAUCACCUGACUCUGCCGUUCCCUUCACCUGUACGGAGCUUUGAGCCUCUUUUAGCUUGUUGUUUUGGUCUUUGUGGCUUUUACAUCUCAGCUCAGUCUCCAGCUGCAGCUGUUUUCAGUGAUUAACGUCUAAACCAACUGCAUAUGACAUUCUACAAAUGGCAGAUGGACAAAUUCAGUGACUUGAUGUUGAGCUCUUCCUCUCCCAGACCAGAGGUGAGUCUGUCUGAUGAACCAAAAGUCAACGCAAUCACUCCAGAAGACAUCUUGGAAAUGUAUGUUUCUGCAAAACAACAGCUUUGCUCAAAGUUUACAUUUCUUCAUGUUGCAGCUUUAUGUUUCUCCACUUAGCUAGGGUGAGGAAAAGAUCAUGAUUUGGUUUGAAGUACCUGGUUUGAUUGCCACAACCUCAGCAGGAGAUCUCCUGACCGCGAGGUGUUAAUAUGAAAACUCCUCCGCUCCUCCAGGCUGCCAUUUUCACAGGGAGAAAAGACGCUGACUUGACCUCUGACCCCGACAGCAAGUGGCUCCGUCUGAACUUACAGGAUUUCCUCGAGCGCUGCCCAGCCAGCUGUCCGUGUUCCAGCACGCAACAAAAAAGGGGGGCACGGGAAGCCUCGAGAUACACUGGACAAGGUGGUAAAGACGCCGCUGAGCUCACAGAAGGGUUCACAACCGAAAAACAGCUUGCGUUGGCUUCACUUGCUGCAGUCGAUCAUUUAUUUAUAAUGAGGCGACUGUGUGCUCACAGUCGGGGGGACCGACAUCGAGGGCUCUGGCAAAAUAACGCAGGGAUGUCUGGCAAAAAACUGUUGAACCAGGUUCAACAAUCGGGGCGUCUUGGCUGACAGAAGUGCACAUUUCAUCCACUCUCACACGUUCCCUCCCUGCUCCUGUACCAACUCUCCUGUUGCUUCAGAGCCAUUAACACCCACCAGCUCUGCAUUAGCCCCCAUACCUGCAUCCUCGCCCACCUGAGAACCUGUUCCCACCCUCCAAACCCUUCCCUACCUGAUGGUGAGCCUGGACGUGCUCAGACUGCAGGAGGAUCCUCCGUCCUGAGAGACCAGGGAGAUCGCUGCAGAUGAGUUUUGACAGAAUAUCGACUUUGGAUGCCGACAGCGCCAAGAUAUUCUAUGAAUAAGAUUUCAGGGAAGAACUAAUGAAAGACUGUAAAGGAACGAAACGAUCCUGAUGAAACUGUUGCUGCUUCCAGCCCUUUGUUCUCAGUGGCCCAGGGGGACCUGAGGUUUCUUUUCCCGCUCUGCCACCAGGAGGCGCCAAAGUUGGACAUUUUUGAAUAUUACAAAUAGUGACUUUAAUUCAGUAAUCUUCAGGAUUUCAGUACGUGCAUCAAAAAGCAAAGAGUGAGUGAAAAAUCUUGUAUAUGUACGAGUCGAGUUUGAGCAAUAAUUCCUAACAAAAUAUAUUAAAAAUGCAUCUAAAGCGAAUCACUUGUUUAUGAGUUAUUUUCCAAUUUUCC